This 337-nucleotide unclassified non-coding RNA is filed under the name fungal sp. RNAcentral's name for it is "partial internal transcribed spacer region". The stretch from base 1 to 44 matches the Rfam family "Eukaryotic small subunit ribosomal RNA", at positions 1788 to 1831 of the family's 1831-position model. The record is from RNAcentral. Lineage: Eukaryota; Fungi.
GUCGUAACAAGGUUUCCGUAGGUGAACCUGCGGAAGGAUCAUUACCACACCGAUCCAACGAUCAACACCCCUGUGAAGUUGUGUGUCGUUUACUCUUCUUCUAAAGCCUUUUGUGGAUGGCAGUGUGUGGGUUAUCUGUGUGCCCUGCUCCGUGCGGGUGUGCGCAGUAGUGCCUGCAUGCUGUUGUCUCGGGGGGUUUUACUACCAAAACACAAACCACUUUUUGAACCAUGAUAAUCUCUGAAACCGAAAGUUUGUACUGCGUGUUUUACACACCAUACAAAUGUAUCAAUGUAAAAACAUGAAACAACUUUCAGCGAUGGAUAUCUUGGCUCUC